Molecule: ribosomal RNA, 117 nt
Filed under: Candidatus Cloacimonadota bacterium
Lineage: Bacteria; Pseudomonadati; Candidatus Cloacimonadota
Source: RNAcentral
GAAGGUGGUUAUAGCGAAGAGGAAACACCUGUUCCCAUCCCGAACACAGAAGUUAAGCUCUUCAGCGCCGAUGGUACUGGUUUGGCAACAAACCGGAAGAGUAGGUCGCCGCCUUCU